RNAcentral lists this ribosomal RNA (440 nucleotides) under uncultured bacterium. RNAcentral describes it as "partial 16S ribosomal RNA". It matches the Rfam family "Bacterial small subunit ribosomal RNA", at positions 338 to 795 of the family's 1533-position model. The record is from RNAcentral.
CCUACGGGAGGCAGCAGUGGGGAAUAUUGCACAAUGGGGGAAACCCUGAUGCAGCAACGCCGCGUGAGUGAAGAAGUAUUUCGGUAUGUAAAGCUCUAUCAGCCGGGAAGAGAAUGACGGUACCUGUCUGAGAAGCCGCGGCUAACUACGUGCCAGCAGCCGCGGUAAUACGUAGGGGGCGAGCGUUAUCCGGAUUUACUGGGCGUAAAGGGAGCGUAUACGGUUCUGCAAGUCUGAAGUGAAAGCCGCUGGCUUAACCGCGGAACGGCUUUGGAAACUGAGGAACUGGAGUGAUGGAGAGGCAAGCGGAAUGCCUAGUGUAGCGGUGAAAUGCGUAGAUAUUAGGAGGAACACCGGUGGCGAAGGCGGCUUGCUGGACAGUAACUGACGUUGAGGCUCGAAAGCGUGGGGAGCAAACAGGAUUAGAUACCCGUGUAGUC